GGUCAGGAUGAACGCUAGCUACAGGCUUAACACAUGCAAGUCGAGGGGCAGCAUUGGAGUAGCAAUACUCAGAUGGCGACCGGCGCACGGGUGAGUAACACGUAUCCAACCUGCCGCUUACUCGGGGAUAGCCUUUCGAAAGAAAGAUUAAUACCCGAUGGUAUAAAGAGUUCGCAUGUUCUCUUUAUUAAAGAAUUUCGGUAAGCGAUGGGGAUGCGUUCCAUUAGAUAGUUGGCGGGGUAACGGCCCACCAAGUCUACGAUGGAUAGGGGUUCUGAGAGGAAGGUCCCCCACAUUGGAACUGAGACACGGUCCAGACUCCUACGGGAGGCAGCAGUGGGGAAUAUUGGGCAAUGGGCGGAAGCCUGACCCAGCGACGCCGCGUGAGGGAAGAAGGCCUUUGGGUCGUAAACCUCUGGUGUAUGGGAAGAAGGAAGUGACGGUACCAUACGAGGAAGUCCCGGCUAACUACGUGCCAGCAGCAGC
Molecule: ribosomal RNA, 486 nt
Filed under: uncultured bacterium
Lineage: Bacteria
Description: bacterial SSU rRNA
Rfam family: Bacterial small subunit ribosomal RNA
Source: RNAcentral